This 1348-nucleotide ribosomal RNA is filed under the name metagenome. RNAcentral's name for it is "bacterial LSU rRNA". It matches the Rfam family "Bacterial large subunit ribosomal RNA", at positions 1564 to 2925 of the family's 2925-position model. The record is from RNAcentral.
UGAGUACGAGCUGCUACGGCAGCGAAGUGGGUGAUGUCAAGCUUCCAAGAAAAGCCCUAUACCCGUUAAGGCAUGACGGCCUGUACCCGAAACCGACACAGGUGGGGUGGUAGAGAAUACCGAGGGGCGCGAGAUAACUCUCUCUAAGGAACUCGGCAAAAUGGCCCCGUAACUUCGGGAGAAGGGGUGCCACCGCAAGGUGGUCGCAGUGAAGAGGCCCAGGCGACUGUUUACCAAAAACACAGGUCUCCGCUAAGUCGCAAGACGAUGUAUGGGGGCUGACGCCUGCCCAGUGCCGGAAGGUUAAGGAAGCUGGUCAGCGCAAGCGAAGCUAGCGACUGAAGCCCCGGUGAACGGCGGCCGUAACUAUAACGGUCCUAAGGUAGCGAAAUUCCUUGUCGGGUAAGAUCCGACCCGCACGAAAGGCGUAACGAUCUGGGCGCUGUCUCGGAGAGAGGCUCGGCGAAAUAGAAUUGUCUGUGAAGAUGCGGACUACGUGCACCCGGACAGAAAGACCCUAUGAAGCUUUACUGUAGCUUGGUAUUGUGCCCGGGCUCUGAAUGCGCAGGAUAGGUGGGAGGCUUUGAUCCAUGGCUUGCGGGUCAUGGUGAGCCAACGGUGAGAUACCACUCUUUCAGAGCUAGGGUUCUAACAGCCACCCGUUAUCCGGGGGCUGGACAGUAUCAGGUGGGCAGUUUGACUGGGGCGGUCGCCUCCUAAAAGGUAACGGAGGCGCGCAAAGGUUUGCUCAGGCUGGUUGGAAAUCAGCCGACGAGUGCAAAAGCAGAAGCAAGCUUGACUGUGAGACCAACAAGUCGAACAGGGACGAAAGUCGGCUUUAGUGAUCCGACGGUUCUGAGUGGAAGGGCCGUCGCUCAACGGAUAAAAGUUACUCUAGGAUAACAGGCUGAUCUCCCCCAAGAGUUCACAUCGACGGGGAGGUUUGGCACCUCGAUGUCGGCUCAUCGCAACCUGGGGCUGAAGUCGGUCCCAAGGGUUGGGCUGUUCGCCCAUUAAAGCGGUACGCGAGCUGGGUUCAGAACGUCGUGAGACAGUUCGGUCCAUAUCCGGUGCAUGCGUAAGAACAUUGAGAGGAGUUCUCCCUAGUACGAGAGGACCGGGAGGAACGCACCUCUGGUGUACCAGUUAUCGUGCCAACGGUAAACGCUGGGUAGCCAUGUGCGGAGAGGAUAACCGCUGAAAGCAUCUAAGUGGGAAGCCCACCUCAAGAUGAGUGUUCUCAUGGCUUAAGCCAGUAAGGUCACGGGAAGAACACCCGUUGAUAGGCUCUACGUGGAAGCGCAGCAAUGUGUGAAGAGGAGGAGUACUAAUAGACCGAGGGCUUGAC